Molecule: long non-coding RNA, 1683 nt
Organism: Xiphophorus hellerii (green swordtail)
Lineage: Eukaryota; Metazoa; Chordata; Actinopteri; Cyprinodontiformes; Poeciliidae
Exons: 9
Source: RefSeq, a predicted model, not a curated record
UUGUGCGUGCGUAAAAAGAUUUGUGCGUGCGUAACAGGAUUUGUAAACCUUAAAAAUAAAAUACAUGUUGAAAAAGUACACACAAAUCACCUGGUACGCACACACAAAACUGCAGUUACACACAAAUCCGGUUACGAGUGCACAACUAUUUUUGAGACUCAUUUCACGCCUCGGUGGAAGCUCCAAAAUUUGUGUGUAGAUGGUGCGUUUACAUGCUAGUAAAAGCUGGGACAUCUGAGUUUUCUUCGGAACUGUUUCUUUUUUCCAUAGUUCAAUAUGUAUUUCUCUCUUUACUUGUCUCGUGGCUUAGACAUAUUUUUGUGAGAGAAAAAUACAUGUCAUUACACCCACGUCUACCUUUUAAUACUAUAAGAUUGUUUAUAUAUGAAUCCGCAUUUGGGACCUAUACAACUGUAAUUACUUGGGUAAAAAAUUCGACCACUAGGUGGUGGAAGUUUAUUCCGCUCUGACUGGGAAAAGCCUUCAUUCAAACUGAGAGAAGAAACAAGAGAAUGGCGGGUCAGCCGAGUGAUCGUGUUCGUGGUCUACCUUCCGAACAGAUAGUUGGAAACAUGGCUCAUGCCUUGGCUACAGCACUCACAAGGGAACUUGUGGGAAAUACAAGCUCUCCCUCAACAAGUUCAUGCCCUAAUAUCGGCAACAAUUCUGGCCCUUUGGCUUCAAAUUCUUCAACACGGGUCAACCAGGCAUUAAAACGGCAAUUUCCAAAUCUGUUUCAAAAGUCAGACCUGAAAAAAGGCAAACAGAGGAUUAUCGCCUCAACUCGUUCUACAAAAAUCUCCAACAUUGGAAUAUACGUAUUGCCAGGCCCCACCAAUCUAACCCCCAAAAAUUCUGAUGAGCUUCCCUUAGCACAUGCAGGGUUAGGGAGAAGGGUGCUUUCUUUUUCUGACGACAGCAGGCAUGAGGAGAUUGUCAGUCAGUUGGAGGAUGAGUUUAUCAAACUUAAACAACUGAAGGGAAGAUGGAUGUUCCAUAAAGCAUCAGGUGGAGGUGGUUAAAGGAAAUUGUCAAUAAUCCCAAUGGAUGCUGAAGGGUACAGCGGCAAGCUGCUCCGUUCUGCUUCAAAUAAUGGGAAAAUAGUCCUCUUCCUGGUACCCCUCCAGGAAGAACUGGAGACAAGUCCACUUCCAUUUGAUGCGGAGGAGUUUGCCAAAAUGCCUCAGGUGCCCUGUGUCACUUGUGGUAUAACAAUGCCUCUUCAGAUGCUGGCGUUACAUGCUGGGUCUUGCAGAAAAAAAAAAAAAAAUCGAACUGAUCAGACUGAACCUAUAGAGGUUGAUGAGGAUGACUGUGACACAUUGGAGGAGCCAGAAGACACAAUUGAAGAUUUGGAAGAAAGAGAGUGCUGCCCUAUCUGCCAGAGGGAUUUCUUGAAGUCUGUGCUUCCUUAUCAUGCCAUUGAAUGCUGUGACAGGAGGGAGGGAGUAUUGGAAAUACACCCAGAUAUGCCAGGACCAUCAUCAACAACUUCAGGAACUUCUUAUUCUGCAGAACCUAGAAGUACUGAAGAAUGGAAAACAGUUGGAGAUCCACAGAAGGCUGUUGAGCUGUUUGUCAGACAACUGAAGCAAGUAGGAGUUAACCAGAGGACACUUGUUCUCACUCUGGAUGCGAUGGACACUGAUGAGGAGCGAGAUAUGUCUCUCAUUUCAUUUUACA